RNAcentral lists this long non-coding RNA (36547 nucleotides) under Lactuca sativa (garden lettuce). Its description in RNAcentral is "long non-coding RNA (LSAT_LNC005397)". Lineage: Eukaryota; Viridiplantae; Streptophyta; Magnoliopsida; Asterales; Asteraceae. The record is from RNAcentral.
UUCACUUGAAAGUACAAUGAUGUGAUAGAAUGAAAAGAAAGUACAACACUAUAAUAUACAAAUAAAAGAAAGUAUGUUUUUUUUUUUUUAAAUUGUUUUUUGAAUUGGCGAAAGGUAAGGAAAAGAUGGACUAUACUUAUGCACCUGGAAGGAAUCAUUUGUUUGUUCCGGGACCCGUGAACAUCCCGGAUCAAGUACUUCGUGCAAUGAACCGAAACAAUGAAGACUANACUUGAAAGUACAAUGAUGUGAUAGAAUGAAAAGAAAGUACAACACUAUAAUAUACAAAUAAAAGAAAGUUGUUUUUUUUUUUUUAAAUUGUUUUUUGAAUUGGCGAAAGGUAAGGAAAAGAUGGACUAUACUUAUGCACCUGGAAGGAAUCAUUUGUUUGUUCCGGGACCCGUGAACAUCCCGGAUCAAGUACUUCGUGCAAUGAACCGAAACAAUGAAGACUAUCGGUCUCCAGCAGUUCCCGCUUUGACUAAAAUUUUACUUGAAGAUGUGAAGAAGAUUUUCAAAACCACUUCGGGGACCCCUUUUCUCAUCCCAACUACAGGUAUAUUAUUUUCUUUUCUCUAGGGUUAAAUAUCAACAUAUAGUUACUUAUUGCAAUAUUUUGGGUUAGGUACGGGUGCAUGGGAAAGUGCACUUACAAACACCUUGUCUCCUGGAGACCGAAUUGUGUCAUUUGUGAUUGGACAAUUCAGUUUGCUUUGGGUGGAUCAACAGCAACGACUUGGGUUCAAUGUUGAUGUGGUGGAAAGUGAAUGGGGUGCGGGUGCUAACUUGGAAGUUUUAGCAUCAAAACUGGCUGCAGAUACUGCGCAUACUAUUAAGGCUGUCUGCAUUGUUCACAAUGAGACUGCCACCGGAGUUACAAACAACUUGGCUUCCGUAAGGAAAAUACUUGGUAAAAUCAUUUUGCUUUUUUUAGUUUUUUAUCGCAUCAUAUUCAUAUUAUUACAUCCAUCUAAACUCGCCUUCUUAAUUAUUUUGUUUUAAGCGACUUAAUAUGGUAAGUUAAGUGAAAGAGAUGUUCCCUUAUUUUCUAUCUUUUGUUAUUGGUCAACCUCUAACAUUAGUAUGGUAAAAUCCAGGAAAAUAUAAUUUACUUUGUCAGUUCCUGUUUAACAACUUUAUCGAUUUAAUCAUUUAACUGUUUUCUAUAGUAAAUAAACGAUUAUACUUUUUUACUGUCAUUGUUUUUAUUAUUGUCAUUAGGAUGAAAUAAUAUUAUCUCUAGAAACAAGUGGUUUAAAUUUUAAAAGUCCUUUUUCUUGUACUUUGUAACUUUUACUAGCUCCUUGAUAGUUGUUUUUCAAUAAAUUUGGGUGGCUGUUUAAAAUAAAAAUUACAAUUUAUAACAAUCAAUAAUAAUAAUGUUUUUUAAUUUUGAAUGGUAACGUAUAAUGGUUUAUUUACUACAUAUAAAAUAGUUAACUUCUUAAUCAUAAAAUUAUGACAGUAGGUAAUGAUUUUGUAUAUUAUACAUUUAUUUAUACUGAUACCAAAAUUUGGUAACAAGGAAAAAUAGUAAUAAUUUAGAAUAGUCAAAAAAAUAUGUAAUGAUUUAAUCACACUUGAGAAAACAGUCAACUGAUGCAAUCGACAGAUGGUAAUUAAGUACGCUGUGAUUUUUUGUAUACAUUACCGGUAUAAAAAUAAAAACGGGUUUUAAACGGUAAAAAGUGUAUGAUCACCACAGAUUAAUCGAUAAAUGGUUAAUUAAAAUACAUUGUCCUUUUCUUAAUUUUUGUGUAUUAAAAUAGUAUUUUGUUGGGUAAGUAAUAAGUUUUGUAAAUUUGGUAAUAUAUAUGUUAGAUCACUACCAGCACCCGGCCCUGUUUCUAGUUGAUGGGGUGUCAUCAAUAUGCGCUUUGGAUUUCCGCAUGGAUGAAUGGGGUGUAGAUGUGGCUUUAACCGGUUCUCAGAAAGCACUUUCCCUUCCCACCGGUAUGGGAAUCGUGUGUGCGAGCCCUAAAGCCAUCGAGGCCUCUCAAACUGCAAAAUCACUUCGAGUUUUCUUUGACUGGAAAGAUUACUUGAAAUUCUACAAAAUGGGGACUUAUUGGCCCUACACUCCUUCCAUUCAGCUUCUCUAUGGCCUAAAAGCUGCCCUUGAUCUCAUCUUUGAAGAAGGCUUGGAUAAUGUUAUUGCAAGGCACAAUCGUCUUGGCACUGCCACAAGGUAUAUAAAUUAUUUACAUUAAUAUCAACAAACUUAACUUUCUAUUUACUUUAUAGUUUAUACUACUAAUAAAUAAAUAUGUAUGUGUAAUGAAGGCUGGCUGUUGAAGCAUGGGGGUUGAAAAACUGCACCCAAAAGGAGGAAUGGUUCAGUGACACAGUCACAGCUGUGGUUGUUCCUCCAUAUAUUGAUAGCUCUGAAAUUGUUAGAAGGGGAUGGAAAAGAUACAACUUAAGCUUGGGUCUUGGCCUUAACAAAGUAGCUGGAAAAGUCUUCAGAAUAGGACAUCUUGGCCAUGUUAAUGACGUAAGCAUACAUACAUACAUACAUGCAUAUGUCUAUCGAUGUUACAAAAUUAAGAAUUAAUAAAUGAAUGUGUGUGUAGUUGCAACUGCUGGGGUGUCUUGCGGGGGUGGAGAUGGUGCUCAAGGAUGUGGGAUACCCGGUGAAGCUGGGGAGUGGAGUGGCUGCUGCUUGUGCAUAUCUACAGAACAACAUUCCCAUGAUUCCAUCAAGGAUUUGAAUUCUGUCAGUGUCACUGUCAGUGUCAAUUGUGUUUAUGUAUGUAACUACUGCAUGCUACUCCUCUUCUUCAAUGUUGAUUUGCUUCAAAUUAAUACCUUUGUAAAGAACACUUAAAUAUCCUACUUUACUUCAAUCAUCUUCAUUUGUAAAUUCUUGUUUUCUCAUUACAUCCAUGAAUAUGCCUUUGAGUUGAAAAAUUAUGUGUGACCAAAUUCAAAUCUAUAUCAACUACCAUCACCCACACAAUAUUAAAUGUGAGCUUGUUGCUUGUUAGUACAAGAGGUUUUGACAAUUGACCCACUAUGGAAGUGAGACUUGAGAGUUGAGAGCCUACUCAUAUAGAAAAUCGAUGGGCUUAGUUAGAAAAGCUCUUUGCUAUUAUCAAUAUAAAUCUAUUGGUUUGCAAAAUUAGGGCGAUUAGUAAACGAUUAUAGUGGGAUGAUCAUAAUUAAGAACAACAUGACACCUUACUAUUUGGACUGAAAGUGUUGUGAAUCUCAUGAUUAAUUGGGUCUCAUGAUUAACAUGGUCGAUGCAUUACAACCAAAUCCCCUCAAGAAUCCUAGUGCCAACCUAUUUAAGUGGAGUCUUUCCUCACUUUAAGGGGGUUGAGAGGCAUUGAUAUUCAUACUUUAAGGUUUAGCAAUCCAUUCUUUGCACUUUAUUGGUUGGAUGUUGAUUCUUGCAUGUGUCUAUUAGAUGGAAGCUACUUUGGUUCCUAUACCAUACAUGGAGUUCAACACUACAUCAUCCAAAGUACACCUCAAUCUAAGUUUUACUAUAAAACACAAUAUGGUAGUGAUUGUUGCUUAAAUACUCUCAAGGAUUAUUGAUAAGAACACUUUUGAGGACAUAAUCAAAUGUAGCUUAAUGCUUGCAAUUAAUCGAAAGAAAGCCUGAAAUUCGAGACUCAAGAGGAUCUCCAAAAACGAAAAUAAGGUUCUAAAUCUUCUACCACCGAGAGGUCGGCUCCCUCUCUACUUAGUCUAACGCUAGCUGAAAAUUAGGAAGCAAAUACUUCAAAUGAAAGCAUAAUCCAAAAAGAUACAUAUCAAAAUUAACUAAUGAUGUUUUUUUUAGCAAAAUAACUAAUCGCCCCUUUGCAAUUUCUUUCCACGCCUCUGAUAAGCUUUGGCGACCCAGCCCAUUCAUAUCAACCCCCCCUCUUUAUGAAAAAUCACCUGGAAAUCGGUGUUGAGUAUCCUCACGUUCCUCUCAUGUAGUUCAAAUGGAAGCUCGAUAAGCACUUGUUGUCACUAACCACGUUGGUGUCAAGAAAGAAAGGCACGAAUACUAAGGUGCUGUUUGGUUUUUUUUUUUUUUUUUUUUUUUUUUUUUUUUUUUAAAAAAAAACCUCUUCAGAUUUUUUAUUGCUACUGGACGCAACACACACCAAACACUUUUAAUCUCGUAGUUGUUUGUUUUUUAGAAGUCUUCAGAGUAAAAAAUCUCAGUGCGUGUUCUGUUUGGCGCAUCACUUGUAUUGCCUCUUUCAACCACUUUUUUUAUUUUUUAUUUUUUUUUUGCUGAAAUCUUUAUUAUAUGUUGCUGAAAUAUUCUUUUACAUUUUUUUUUCGUUUUUUUAUAUUAAAUAAUAAUAAUUUCUUGAUGAACAUUAUUAUUUUUUUUGCUAAAAUAUCUUUAUUUUUUUGUUGAAAUAUCAUUAUUUUGUUGAAAUAUCAUAAAUUAUUGCUAAAAUGUCAUACAUUAUUAAAUUUUCGGUAUUAACAAAACUAUUUUCGAUUUAUAAAAUCAAUUUAUUUUAAUUUUUAAUAUCUGCAGCAGCAUGUAGAUAUUAAAAAAACAAACACGUUUCUUAUUAUAAUAUGCAGCCGUUUGGUCCACCUCUUCUACUGUAGAGGGUAGCGGAGGUGGUCCACAGACUUCAUGAAUUUUUUAUUAAAAAAACAAACAACACCUAAAUAAGUUUUGGAAGGAUUUUAUUUUAUUUUAUUAAUUGGUCUUUAUGUGGCCAAUAUGCUAAUGCCAGUUUUAUAUGUUUACUAUACUAUGAACGUGUUCGACAAAAAUAGCUGGUAGCGUGUAACGAGUAGCGUUUGAUUUUGGAGAGUUUUGUUCAAAGCUUCUCCAUGUAGCUUUUGAUUUUGGAACAUUUUGUUUAAAGUAAAAACUAAACGCUCCUGUUGUUGCCGAACGAAGUUUGUUUUUUUGUUUAUUUUUUUUAUACAAGUGUUUUCUUAAAAACUAGAAGCCAGAAGCUCCUAAAUGCCACGUGCCGAACACGCCCAAGUAUUUCUUGAAGCCUAUGUUUGAAGGAGAGAUUUUUUUGAUAAAACUAUAAAAGUAAUAUUUGUUUGAGUAGAGUCGCUCUAUAUCAAAAUUGUCUCGUUGAUUGUCUUUUCUUUCCCGUUUGUAGUGUGUUUUUCAUUGUAGUUGCAUCACACCUUCUUGAGCUACGACACAUGGAAAACUGGGUGAAUGGAAGCGAUGGACGACAAUAAACUGAGUGGGCCAGGUUGGAAAACCUGGCGAGUACAUAGGGAUUUCAAUCCCACAAUGUGAUAAUAAUGUAUAUCUCAAACCUGCAAUCCAACUAUUAUCAUUAACCCAUAUAUCAUAUCUUUUAAAACAAUUUAUCCUAUCUCGUCGAUUCCCUCGUAUAAAUCCUAUACAACAAUCUUACAAGAUCUAUCCUAAAGGAUCAAUAUGAACAACAAUCUGACGACGCUGUUUUGGAAAUUCCCUGACAGCAAACGAGGAUCAAUAAGUACAUCAAAUGAGGGGAAUGGAAUAAGUUUCACCAUGAACCUCCGUUCGUAAAAACAACAAGACAAUUAAGUCAGGGGUGGUUAUCUAGAUUACUGUGCCUAGCAAUGGUAUGAGAUCAUGAGCUAUUUUACCCCAAAACUCACCCUAUCCAGCAAUACAACAUCAUAUAUACCUAGUAGUGGUCUAUUGCUGACACACUAUAUUAGGCAGUCUACGAAGUUCCCUCAAUUACUUCAUGAAAGGAAACUCUGACACAUGAAGCUCGUCUGAUCACUUCAUAAAAGAAACGAUGACUCCAAAGCUCUUCAAAAUAAAAAGUAUGGGUAAAUACUAAUAAAGUACUCCCGUACGCUCCCAUACCCAGACACACAAUAGUGUCAAAAAAGGACUUUGUACAUGAUAGUACUUCUGGCAUAUUAUAGUACCCUAUUAUGAGUAGGACUCGUACCCUAGAACAUAAUAAUACCCCAACACAAGCAGCACCUAAAACACAGAGUUUUGUAAAAAGAAUUGGUACAUAGAAAGUACUUUUGUACGUAGGACAUACUCCAUCGAUCAUCAAUCUCCUCGAACAGAGUUUAUACUCUCUAUUCCGAUCACACACAUACCGUUAAUAAGAUACUACCCAAUAUCCAAACUUAAUUGAACUAAGCAUCUCUUUUAAGUCUUAUUUCAUCACUAAGCAAGCCUACAAUGCUUAUAAUCAACUUUCAAUACUAACUCUGUUUCGGAAACACUAUCUAAAUUUAGUCUACUAUUUUAUACAGAGUAUUAAGUAUUAACAUACAUUUAUCUUCUCAUUUAUAAUACUUCUAUUAUUAGUAUCUUGUAAAUACAUCUCAACACAUAUAGAACCAUGCCUGGUUCGUAUAGCGUAUAUCAUCAAAUAUACAUAUAACACAAAUUUCCAGAUAAUAAUCAUAUAACUCACAUAUAAAAUUUCAACAUAUAUUUAAUACUUUUAUUAAUACUUGUAUUAAAAUCAUGUUCAUGAAAGGGACUAUGCACUCACUUGUUAAAUUGAUGACUCGAAAUUCAGACAACGAUUCGCUUCUAGCAAUUGCCUUUUUCUGUUGACGAAACCUAGUAUUAUUAUCACUAAGUUUUAGUCUAAGAUUGCGACUAAUUAGUAGUCUAGAUUCAUCAUUAACUCAAAGUAUACUUUCAUGAUCUAUCAAUUAAGGAACAACCAGGUAGGAUCAUAUCAGAGGUAGGGUCCAUUUGGUAUACGAAGUAUACUGUUUGGAAAUCCCACUUUAAACACCUUACUAAAUCACAACCUAGACAUCAUCCAUGUAAGUAGAUCAAUCAAUAUAACGACUUGGAAUCACUUAUAAAUCUUGUUUAUAGUUUCAUAAUAAUGAUAAUGAACUUAAACAUAAGUUAUACUUAAAGUAUGGUAGCCAUAACUCACUUACAAGGGGGUUUAGCAAAGAACUGGGCUUUGCGCGGACAGAACUUCUGAGGCGAAAGAUCUUCUUCUCAGGGCCUUCUGGCGCUCCGGGACUCGCUUCUAGAACCUAGUAGGUUAUAGGGAAAAAUUUGGAAGGGUUGGGGUGUUUGGGAGAGAAGGUUUGAGAAAGUGUGAAGAAAAAUGAGUGAUCCGCGCCUCUAUUAAUAGGCUGGGAAAUUGGGUUACGUGGGACGUAACUGAGAUGUACGUUGGGCGUAAUCGAUAUACAGGGGGUACCAAGCCCUACGCUGGGCGUACCGGCUCCAUGUAUAAGCAUCACAUGCGAAACCAUGGGGAGGAAGGUGUGACUGAGAUGGUGCCACGUGUCACCUUCGGAACUUAACCCCAAAAUUAAUUAUCUUCCAAAUUCUAUAACUUUCACAUACGAGCUCAAUUUUUGACAUUAUUUAUUUCCACGCGUAGGUAGCGAAGUGAUCUACAACUUUCGUUUAGACUCCAUUGGCUAAUUUUGACUUUAUUUUUAAAGUUAUAUUUUAACAGACUUAAACAGUUAAAGUCCGUUAAAAAUUCAUAACUUUGUCAUUCGACGUCCGUUUUCGAAUUUCUUUAUAUCGUUGAGCUCCUAUUAACGAGAUAUUCAAUUAUCAUUUAGGUUGUGUCGGCUAAUAAUCGAUCGAUCUGAAAUUCGAUUUUCGGGCUGUGAACUGCUUUGCUAAAUCUUAGAAAAAUCAUAACUUCCUCAAACAAAGUCAGAUUUGGAUGUUCUCUAUAUGCACACUCUCAGUUUAACAUAUACUAUGACUUUCGUUUAGAUCGCUAGGGCUAAAAAGUAUUUUUUCAAAAAUUUUCUUUUUACGAUACUCCGCGUCGUGCUGGUUUUGUCGCAAAACUUCGACGGGUCAUAACUUCUUCGUUUUAAGUCGGAUUUCAGCGUUCUUUAUAUGUAUGAAAUCCUUGUGACAUAUACUAUAACUUUGGUUCAGAUUAAUUACUCUAAAUAAUCUUCUAUCGAAAACUCAUUUAUAACGCUUAUUGUCUCUAAAUUGACUAGCCCGAAUCUGCAGGCGUUACAAAAAUAAACUCACAAAACACUGUCUCUAUCUGACACAUGAAAUGUUAUGUAAGCAAAGUACUUCCAGGAUAAUGAUCACAAAUAUAGACAAAACCAUGAAAUGGUGAUUAAGGGGUAUAAAAUGGGCUGAUUUGCUCAAGCGAUCCACGAACACAAAAAUUACACUAUACUUCACCGAUUUUUGUAACCCUUCAAUAAAAUCCAUACACAGAUCUUCCCAAAUCUAUUCUGGUAAUGCUAACGGUUGCAACAGACCCACCGACACCAAGUUUGAGUACUUGUUGCAUUGGCACACUGCACAUUCCAAGAUGAAUUUGGCCACAUCCUUCUGUAUUCCGACCUUAAAGAAUGCUUUCACGAGACGUUGAUAUGUUAUUUGCAUGCCAUCGUACCCCCCGGUCACCCCCAUUGGAAUUAUUGAAAUAAACGUACCACCUAUUUAGAUGUAUGCGAAAGUACUAAGUGAACCUUGUAGCGCACAUGCCCUCUUAGAAAUGACAUAGCCGACCAUAUAUUUGCUAGGGGUUUCUAUUUUUUUUGGAUAGUGGCCAAUUUUGGUUCGUUAAGAAAGUUGGAUAGAAGUUUACUCCCGUGGCUAAUCUCGGACAACGUGAGUUCCGCCAUGGAUACCCCCACCCCGUGCCUGGAUAACACGUGGCUACCCUGUUUUCUUUUCCCAAACGAUAUAUAAUCUUGAAUUCAAAUCUGGACAACUUUGAAAGGCACCAUUUAUGCUCGCCGAAUAUUGAUCGUUGCUCCAACAAAUACUUUAAGUUCUAUUGGUUGGUGGUAACCUUGAACCGACACCCAAGCAAAUAAGUCCGCCACUUUUGAACCGUUAUCACUAUUUUCAUCAACACUCGCUUAUGAACUGAAUUGAGUUGGGUGUGGGUUCCAAAGACCCGACUAAACCAAGCCACAAGUCUGUUUUAUUGCAUACGAGUUGGUCCUACACCAUAACCCGAGGCAUCCGUCCCGAUCGUGAAUGCUUUAGCAAAAUCUGGUAAAUUUAACACUGUUACCAACAUCAUUGCUUAUUGUGACUACCGAAAAGCUGGUGAUGCUUCGUCAUUCCAACUAAAUUUGUCUUUCUUGAGUAAGAUAGUCAACGGUUUGACGAUCCUUCCAUAACCUUACACAAAAUUUUGAUAAUAACCUAUUAGUUCUAAAAACCCACUCAACUUACCUAUUGUCUUGGGCAUAAGCCAUUCCAACAUAGUUAAAAUCUUGCUUGGUUCAGCUGCCAAUCCCUGCUUGUCACCACAUGCCAUAAAUAGUCAACUCGAUUGGAUCAGCUGCUAAUCCCUGCUAAUCCCCACAUGUCACAAAUAGUCAACCCGAUUUCGACCGAAUACACAUUUUUUCUAUUACAGAAUAGGCUCUCGGCCCUAAGACUUUCGAACACCAUCCUUAUGUGUUGCUGAUAAUCUUCCAUGGUUCUGUUGUAUACAAGAAUAUCGUCAAAGAAAACAAGCAGUAAUUUUCUGAGGUAAGGAAGAAAAAACUUAUUCAUGAAAGAUUGAAAUGUCAAAGGAAAUUGUAAUGCCCUUCAUGCGUUCGAAAUUCCUUCUUUGAUGUCUUCUUGUUUCAUGCGAAUGUGAUGGUACCCCGACUUGAGAUCCAACUUGCUAAAAAUCAUUGCUCCAUGUAGCUUGUCGAGCAACUCAUAAAUAAUGGGUCUAGGAUCAUGGAUUUGUUUAAGGAACGGUAAUCCAUGUAGAAAUGCCAACUCCUAUUUUUUUUACUAGUAGAGCCAUACUAGAGAAUGGGUUUGAGCUCAACCGAAUAACCCCCACGGUAAGUAUUUCUUCCAACAAACGCUCGAUUUUUUAUUUUGCAAUUGUAGGUAGCGCUACGGUCAGGUGUUGACAGGUUCGGUGCCCAUUUUCAAUGUAAUGGCAUGUUCGUGACCCUAAGGUGGCGGUAGCUCUGCUGGUAGCUGAAACACGUCAGUAAAUUCUAUCAUUAUUUCGUUAACUGUAGGGUGAACUUGAGAAUCGGUUUGAUCAAUGAAUUCUAGUUGGAGUACUGCUAUCAAAAAACCUUAACUACCCUGAGAUAAACCCAAAGUUCUAAAUAAAGAGAGUCGUGAGCUUGGUGGUGGGCUUGGUGGCAAGGUCAAAGUUAAGUCAUGGCAAGCCAUGACGUUUUUCAAGGCAUGAUUAUUUUAUAUACAUUAAAAAAGAUUAAUUAUAUAAUUAUUGAAUUUUAUCAAAUAUAUCAAGUUUUUAGAAGUGUUAUAUUAAUAUUUAAUAUAAAAAAGGUAACAAAAACUCAAUUAUUUUAGCCUCUAUCAGGAAAAACAAAAAAAUAAAAACCCAAAAAAAAAAAAACAUGCCCACCUUGAAAAGAAUGCGUGCCAUAACACGAUAAGGUACACCUUGACACGUUAUUUGGAUGCCACGAUAAACAAAACCGCCUUGGACAUUUUUGUAAUGACUACACCAUGCCUCGCGCCAUGGCACACCUUGAGGUCCACCAUGGCGCACUUUUUAGAGCCAUAGAUAAACCCCUUACCAAUGUCUGUAAGGACGUUUCUGACCGGUUCAAACCUGGUUUCCCUUGUAAAGUCACCUUGCGCCCCUUGUCCAUGAAUGUCACUGUUAAAUCACACUAGUUAACCCGAGUCUCUCUGAGGGUGCGAAGCCAUUUGAUACCCAAUAUAACAUCAAUACUACCCAAGUCUAGUGGAUAAAAACUGUGCACCAGUCGAAACCCAUGUAAGGUUAAUGUCACGCUCUUGAAACUUCCAACACUCUUGUCAAACCCUCUAUUACCCAAGAUAACACCAUUUUCUUGUGUCCCAUUUCCCAUUUAUGGUAAGCUCUAGCGGUUCAACCAACCGCAAUGAUACAAAAUUAUGUGUGGUACCGCUGUCAGUGAGCACAAUCACUUUGUGUUCACCGAUGAAUCCUCGUAAUUUCAUGGUAUGAGGUGUGGUGAACUUUUAUUAUCUUGAAGAUUUUCAAGGGAACGAUCCCGAUCAGUUUAUUAUUUUGAAGAUUUUCGUGAUUAUUGAAGAAAUUUUCAACUUUUGCAUCUGGAAUUUUUCCGGUUAGUUUUUACUGUUUUGUUGGUGAUGUUGCUUCCAAAAAUAAAGAUUUUGGUGUUAUUGUUUAUACAUUUGCUACUUUUUAUCUAAGUUCUUGAAGACAUUAUAUAUANNNNNNNNNNNNNNNNNNNNNNNNNNUAUAUAUAUAUAUAUAUAAUGAAGAAUAUGAAGUUAUUGUUGAAAAUAGAUUGUUUGAUAUGUUUAUCCCUUGGAAAAAGUUGUUUUGAAAAAGAAAUAAACCUAGUUUUAGGAUAUAGGAUUUAACAUUUUUACUAAGUUUAGAUGUUAAAGCUUUUUAUGGAGUGCAUAAGUUCUUAUAACUGAUGUGCAAAGCUUAGAAGCUAUCAUACGUUGAAUAAAGGAAAUUUAUGAAUGAGUAACAAUCGACAUUGUGCAUUAAUUGUCGUACAACGUAAGGAAUAAAUGCUAACACUCAUGCUUAGGGGUGUCAAAAAAACUCGAACCCGAUUAACUCGACCCGACCCUAACCCGAUUAAGGUAUUUAGGGUCGGGUUUUAUAGGGUCAAAAUUCUUAAUCGGGUUAUUCGGGUUAACCCGACAAACCCGAACUAUAGUUAGGGUCGGGUUUAGGGUUGAUUUUUUUUAUAAAAGUCGGGUUUCGGGUUAACCCGAUUAACCCGAAUAAAAAUACACUACAAUAUUUAUGUAUUUUAUUCCACCUCACAUCUUUUAUUUUUGUACAUUAUGUGGCCUAAAAAAGAGGAAAAUAAGAUGCAACACAAUUGUAGAACAAAAUAUUGAUUUGUACAAAUGGAAAUUAAUAUGUAGCAUAGUAAAAUAAUAUGCAAUGGUAGUUUAUCGUGGCCUAAAAUAAAAAAUACACAGUCACAAAUCAAAUGAAUAAUGCUUUUUAAUUGUAUAGUAUAAACAAGAAAAAUAAACCAUAUACACUCAUAGUCAUUUGGAUUUAACACAUCCUAAUUUAACCUUCUGAAAAUAAACAUUAUUAUAAAUAUGACACAAUAUUUUUGUCUUACAUUGUAACCCGAUUAACCCGACUAACUCGACCCUAUAAACCCGAAACCCGAAUAACCCGUACCUUAAUAGGGACGGGUUCUGGGUGAAAUUAUUUUUAUAAAAAACCCGACUAACCCGACCCGUUUAACCCGAAACCCAAUCGGGUUGACCCGAUUAACAGCCCUACUCAUGCCUACAUUUUUUUACCAGGUCACACCUCAACUUUUACUAGCUAUGAUUUUUACAUGCUUUUUCAGGAAAUAAUUAGUAAGUGGAUAUAAAGAUUCAUCAUCAUAGAACAUGCUGCAUCGUGUUGAAACUAUUAUGAAAUUAUAUUUUGAACAAUGUUGUUUUGGAAAAACUUGUACUUUGUUUCUUUUUAAGCUAUGGGUUGUGAGUUUGUGUACAUGCAACAUUUGUUUUUUAUCAAUUGGUGAUACCCACUUGGUUUCUCAACCAAAAGUAAAAAAACACCUUAUUACCCAACCAAGGCAGUUGCUUUUGACAUAACUCUUUUUUAUUUUGAUUAUUUUUUAUGUUUUUUUUUAUAUUCCAAUUACAGAUCCACACCCAUUCGAACAACUUUUUUUUAAGCUAAUUUUUUGUCUUUCUCGGAUUACCUACAAACCUCAUCCGACCAUCAUUUAUUUAUAUAGAUCAGACUCAAUCUCGGAUCCACAAGAUCCUACCCAUUCUGCUUGGAUUCUUUUUGCUCAUAUUCAUUGUACGAGAAAAAUCCAUUCAAAUUUUUUGGUUUUCUAUUUCGGAUCAAACUAUCCGAACCGACCCACUUCAUUUUGGAUUCACUUCUCUUUAUUGGAUUCACUUUUGCUAAUUUUGAAUGACACAUUUUUUUGUCCCAACAUUUUUUUAAAACCAAUUAAUUUCUUUCUUUUUAUUUUACCCAAUUAUUUCAUUAGAAACAAUUUUUCCUUUUAGCCCCAACCCAAUACCUUUUAGUCUCUAAUGCUCCAUCUGAGGUUAUCAUUAGACCAAAUUUUUUACAAACAAUUUUGUGUUAUGAAUUAUUAUUUAGUGAAUGACUAUUGGAUUCUCCAUAUUCCCCCAUUACUCUCCAUAAUUAGUGAACAUUAUAGCAAACAUUAUUAUGUGUUUUAUGAGUGUAGUUAUGCACCACUAUAAUGAGCAUUCAUAUCAUACAUCACCUUUCAUCUUCUUUGUCUAGUAUAAAUAGUGAAUAUUAUGUAUUAUAAAGUUUGAUGAUUUCAUCACAAGUAUUAGAAUAAAAGCUCUCUCUACUCUCAUGUCUUUCUUUACUCUAUAACUUAUCUUGUUAUUUGAUCAUAUUUUAUAACACGUUAUCAGCACGACUCUACCAUAGAGCUCUAACUCUUUAUCGCUCUCAUUAUUUUCAGGUAUGUAUUUUUUUAUAAGUUUACAUGUACAAUGCUUACAAAUUAUUUUCUGAAAUUUAUUAACUAACAAUUCUUGAGCAUACAAGUCUUUAUUUUGAUUAGUAUUUUCACUAUGAAAAACUAUGUUAUGCUAGAGAAAAUUUUCUCUACUUUCCAUGCCACCAACAUGCUCCUGCAGCAGCAAUAUCGUGAGAAAGAUUUAAAAAGAAUAUAUUAUGAAUUAAUCUCAUUUCUUCUUGUGGCUGAAUAAAACUAUGAACUAUUGAUGAAAAAUCAUCAACCAAUCCCAACCGGUUCUAGUGCAUUCCCUGAAGUGAAUGCAAUAUCAUAUAAUCAUAAUAGUCAUGGGUAUAAUCGAGGUCGUGGAGGUUAUUAUCAUAAAAAAUAACAAGAUUACAAGCAACCACCAGAAGUUGGAAAAUAGCAAAAAUCCACAUCCUAAUGAUAGACUAGGUUAAGGAAAAAAAAAAUUGAAAAUGUUUGUCAUUGAUGUGGAACGACCAUUCAUUGGUCUUGUACAUGCUGCUUACCAAAGCAUUUUGUUGAUCUUUAUCAAACUUCUCUAAAAUCUAAAGAAAAAUAAUAUAUCAAAUUUUUUUUAUUCAAAGUGAUAUUCAUGAAGAUCAACCUGAAAUGACACAUUUGGAUGUUGCCGAUUUUCUUGUCUACCCAGAAGGGACAAGUGGUGAUAUGGAUGGUGAUUGAAGAAUAUUGUGUAGUUUUGUUUCAUGACAUUUAUUAUGUUUUUAUGUCAUAUGUCGAAUGUUUCUUAUGUUUUAUUUAUUUAUUGAAAAGAAAUAUGAAUAUUCGCAAAAGAAAUAAGGAAGAUAUAUUUCUUGCAGACAAUGCAAUAACAUUCUGCUUACUUAUCAAUUAGAGAAGCAAAUGUUAAUAUAAUAACAGGUAAUACAAAAAUGAUUAAAAGCUCCAGAAGAGCAAAUAUAGUAUUACCAUAAGUGACAAUAAUUACAAUUGGUGAUGCAUUAUUUUUAUUAAAAUCACCAAGAAAAUUAUUAAGUUUUAAGGAUAAUCGGUCUAACAGAUAUCCUAUUGAAACAACUAAUGAUGGUAAUAAAAAUUAUCUCAAUAUUACAAAAAUGAUAUCGGAUAAGAAAAGUUUUUUGGAAAAAUUACAUGUAUUGUCCUCCGGAUUGUACUAUACAAAUAUUACAAUGAUUCAUGCUAUUGAAAAUAUUACAAUGAUUCAUGUUAUUGAAAAUAAAAACGGUAUGAUAUUACCUUCAUAGUUUGGCAUGACCGGUUGGGCCAUCCCGGAUCAAUUAUGGUAUAUAGAAUAAAUAAAACUUCAAGUGGUCAUUCCUUGAAAAACCAGAAGAUUUUUCAAGAUAAUGAAUUGUGUUGCAUGCUCUUAAGGAAAAUUAAUUUCCAGUCCAUCAUUGAACAAAGUUGGUUAUGAAAGUCUUAGUUUCUUACAAAGAAUUCAAGAGGAUAUAUAUGGACUAAUUCAUCCAACACUAUGUGGACCAUUUAGAUAUUUUAUGGUUUUAAUUGAUGAGUCAACUAGAUGGUCACAUGUGUGCUUGUUGUCUAGCUGUAAUUUGGUUUUUGCAAUAUUACUUGCAUAAAUAAUCAGCCCAAGGGCACAUUUCCACGAACCCAAUUAAGAUAAUUCGACUUGACAAUGUUGCAAAAUUUUCAUUGCAUGCUAUUAACGAUUAUUGCAUGUCAAUUGGAUUGAACAUCCUGUUACACACGUUCGUACACAAAAUGGUCUAAUUGAUUAAUUAAUCAAACACCAUUAAUUAAUUACAAGACCAUUACUAAUGCAUUAUAAACUUUCUAAUCAACAUAAGGGCAUGCAAUUUUACAUGCAACAUCACUUAUAUGCAUAAUGCCAAUUAGUUAUCAUGAGUUCUCCCCUAUUCAACUGGUUUGCGGUCAGGAACCAAAUAUUUACCAUCCAAGGAUGUUUGGAUGUACAAUUUAUGUACCCAUUUCUCCACCUCACUUCACAAAAAUGGGUCCUCGAGAAGAAUGAGAAUUUAUGUUGGUUAUGAAUCUCCAUCUAUAGUAAAAUAUUUAAAAUCAUCAACUAAAGAUUUAUUUACAGCUAUAUUUGAUGAUUAAUAUUUUGAUGAAUCAUAUUUUCCAACAUUAGGGGGAGAAAUAAAGAAGCUGGAAAAUAAAAUUUCUUGAAAGGAAUUAUCACUUUCAGUUUUAGAUCCUCGUUCAAGUCAAUGUGAACUUGAAAUAAAAAAGAUAAUUCCUUUACAAAAUGUAGCAAAUCAAUUGCCAGAAGCAUUUACUGACCCUAAGUGAGUAACAAAGUCUCAUGUACCAGUUAUACAUACUCCAGUUAGAAUUUAUAUCCUACAAGAAAAAAAAUACAACUACAAAUGAAUCUUAGGCACGCCUGAAGCAUGGAAGAUCAGUCGGUUCCAAAGAUAAAAAUCCUCGAAAAUGAAAUGGAGCAAAUACAAUUGAUGGUCCAAAAGAGAAAACAAAAUCUCUUGAAAAGAUUAAUGAAGCUCUAGAAGAGCCCAAUGACAUAACAAAAGAAUAUAAGGUACCUGGAAAAAAUGAAAAUGAUGAGAUCUCAAUAAAUUAUGUCAUCACAGAAAUAAGAUGGUACCAACAUAAGACAGAAGUCGACGAUAAUUUUUCAUAUUAUGUUCCGCGCGCGAUUAUAAAGAAAAUGAUGAUCUUGAACCUAAAUCUAUUGAGAAAUGUAUGAAUAGAAAAUAUUGGCCAAAAUGGAAAGAUGAAAUAAAUAAAGAGCUUAAUUGUCUUACCCAAUGAAAAGUUUUUGGGCCUGUAGUCUAUACACCAANUAGUGGGACACGAAUGAGUAUUUGUGGGCAAAAGAAACGAGAAAAAAUGAAGUUGUGAGAUAUAAAGCAAUACUUGUUGCACAAGGUUUUACCCAAAGGCCCGAAAUUGAUUAUGAAGAAACGUAUUCUCCUGUAGUUGAUGCAAUUACAUUCAGUUAUUUUAUAAGUUUAACAACAUAUGCAAAACUGAAGAUGUGUCUAAUGGAUGUAUUUUACCACUUAUUUAUAUGGUUCACUUGAAAAUGAUAUUUAUAUGAAAAUCCCAGAAGUGUUUAAGGUGCUAGAAGCACAAACUUCUCAUUCUCGUGAAGUAUAUUUGAUGAAAUUAAAUAAAUCUUUGUAUAGAUUGAAACAAUUUGGCCGUAUGUGCUUCAAUUGUUUUAGUACAUUUCGGUUGAAAAAGUGCUAUAAAAAUGAUCCAUUAAGCCCAUGUGUAUUCAUAAAAAGAUGCAGAUAAGAGUUUAUCAUAAUUGAUGCUAUUGUAGAUGAUUUGAACAUAAUUGGAACUCCUAGAGAAUUGGAAAAGGUCACUUCCUGUUUGAAAGAAAUUUUUGAAAUGAAUGAUCUUGGUAAGAUGAAAUUCUAUUUGGGUCUUCAAAUUAAGCACACAAAAAAUGGAGUUUUUGUACAUUAAUAUCUAGAAAAGGUGCUAAAAAUGUUUUAUAUGAAUAACUCACAUCCAUGAGUAACCCGAAGGUGGUAAGGCACUUAGAUGCCAAAAAGGAUCAAUUUCAGCAUCAUAAAAAACAUGAAAAUCUUCUUGUUCCAGAAGAACUAUAUCUUAGUGCUAUUGGUGCACUAAUAUAUCUUACUAUUAAUACAAGACCUGAUAAAUAUUUUGUCGUAAACUUAUUAGCAAGAUAUAGUUGUUGUCCAACAAGAAGAUACUGUAAUAAAGUCAAACACAUUCUUUGAUAUCUUUGAGGUACAAUGGAUAUGAAUUUAUACUAAUCAAAUUCUUAAAAUGCAAAGUUAAUUAGUUAUGUAUAUGCUAGAUAUUUAUCUGAUCCACACAAAAAAGUUAUUUAUUCACUUGUGGAGGUAACGUAAAUUCUUGUCAUUUUGUUAAACAAACUUUAGUUGCUGCUUAUUCUAACCAUGCGGAGAUUAUAGCAAUUUAUAAGAUAAUACAACUUGUAUAGCUCCAUUCAAGGAAGGAUUUAUAAAAGGAGACAGAACCAAGCAUAUAUCACCAAAGUUUUUUUCACUCAUGAUCUUCAAAAAGAGUGUGGCAUCAACAUCUAGAAAAUUCAAUCCUGUAACAACUUUCCUGAUUGGUUUACUAAAACACAUCCUACAUCGAAAUUGAAAAGAUGGUACGAAACAUUGUUAUGUGGUGCUUCAAGAGAAUCAAGUGAUGUGCUAAUCUGGGGGAGUUGGAAACAUAUUGUACUCUUUUCCUUAGCUAUGUUUUUCCCACUGGGUUUUCUUUGCAAGGUUUUUAACGAGGCAAUUGUUUCCAAUAUCUAUUAUUAAUCAUGUACUCUUUUUCCUUAAUAAAGGGUUUUUCCCAUGAGGUUUUACCGAUUAAGGUUUUAACGAGGCAUGAUACAAUCGUCAUUCAAGGGGGAGUGUUAUGAAUUAUUAUUUAGUGAAUGACUAUUGGAUUCUCCAUAUUCCCCCAUUACUCUCCAUAAUUAGUGAACAUUAUAGCAAACAUUAUUAUGUAUUUUAUGAGUGUAGUUAUGCACCACUAUAAUGAGCAUUCAUAUCAUACAUCACCUUUCAUCUUCUUUGUCUAGUAUAAAUAGUGAAUAUUAUGUAUUGUAAAGUUUGAUGAUUUCAUCACAAGUAUUAGAAUAAAAGCUCUCUCUACUCUCAUGUCUUUCUUUACUCUAUAACUUAUCUUGUUAUUUGAUCAUAUUUUAUAACAUUUUGUCUAUUAAAACCAUUUAUCCCUUCUUAUUUAAAACCAAUUAUUUUUUUAACACAAAUUUUAUCUCCAAGACUUUAUUCUUCUUGCCGAUUUCAAGUGAAGACACAAGUGUUUUAGAGAUUAUCAUUUUUUGUGUUCUUCCUUCUACCGAGCAACCCGUAUCUGCAACCACCGACUUAUGUUCUUCGAAUAUUCAGAUCCAUAUAUUUAAUCGGAAACUUUUUUGAUCAACAAUGUUCUUCAAAUAUUUUGAUCUUUUUAAGGUUUGCAUUUUAUUUCCUUUAGAAUGGUUAAAUAAGGUAUUUGACCACCUUCAGACCAAAAAAUUUUCGGAUCAGAGAUCAGUCUCUUCCGACCGAGAUUGACAAAUCAAUGGUCUUGCUUCGUAAAUUCGUGUUCGUAUUUCAUUUUAUUAGCAUUAUGAUUCUUCAACAUGGUUUAUUAGAUAUAUCUUUAGUAUUUGUUCAGUACAGCAAAACAUCACACAAUCUACUCAUGACUUGAAAAUAAUAUCCUCGUUUUUACAGGUAGAUGAUCACAUCAUGGGGGAGCGUCCAAUGCUCCAUCAUAUCCGACAUAUUUUCUUGCCCGAUUUCAUUAUUAUUUUUUAUCUUUAUUGCAUCCUCGAACAAAAAUAGGGGGAGAAUAAUGGGCAUCCACGUUUGAAAUUUUUAUUUGAGUUUGGAUUUUAGAGACAUUUGAAGAUGCAGAUUUAUCUAGUAAUGCGAUUUGGCACUGAUUUUUGGGUUUUAGAGAUCAAAUUUUUAGGCAUUACUAGAUGUUCUUUGGAUCAUGAUUAUUUAUAUCCAGACUCUAUUUUUUGGGAUGUCUCAUUUGUGUUAGCAUCCAAAUCAGGUUUUAUGAUUGUUCGAGUUUGGAUUUUCGAUAUUUUGAAGGCGGAGAUUAUUUUGGAGAUGCGACGCGACACUGAAUUGAUCAUUUUUUUAUCAGAAUUUUUGCAUUGCAAGACAUUUCUUCGGAUCCAUAUUAUUUAUUAUUCAUACUUUACUUAAGGAUGCUUUACACUUUCAACAAGUAUUUUUCAGAGAUUUUUGGUUCCUUAUGAUUUGGGAUCGGAAUUUGAGGCCUUUGUGUGAUUCGAUAUUGAGAUCUUUAGUUCAACAAUCAUAUGGCAGAUUGUGAACCUGAUCGGUUUUUGGGACUGGUCUAAUUUGAAGAUUGGGAUUUCAUAUUUGUGUUGAGAGUUGGUUCCUCUAAAUGUUCUUUGAUGUUAAAGAUUCCAUUGUCAGAUUCAGAGUUCGUAGUUGCUUCAUAAUUUUUGAGAUAUAUUAGCACCAGACCUGCCCGUCAGUUGUUCUUCCUUUUAUCAUUGAUUUUUACCCUCAUCAUUUUUGAGAAUUUAAGGGGAGAUUAUUGGAACAGGAAACACCUACAAUCAUGAGUGAUUUAUUAGGUUGGAAUAGUCUAUUGUAUGAAAUGCAUAUUCCAUCCACUACUAUAUAAAGUGGUGGUAUGUGGUCAUUUGAGGUGUGCACCAUGUAGACAUUAGAUUAGAGAGAGUAUUGCUGGAAUAUUCUUCCUAUCCAUGAGUGUUCUUAAUUGUAAUAUUUGAUAUCUCUCUAUCUAUACAUUGUUAGUUUACUUAAUUGUUUAUCAUGUUCUUACAAUUAUCUUCAUGAUUAUUAUUAUUAUGCAACAAAGCAAUCAUUAAACUGGUACAACAAUAUUUCUUUCCUUCUCCUAUUUUUCUGUCAAAGGCUUCAUGAAAUAAAUUUUAAUGUUACCAUUCUCUUCGUAUUGGAUACAUUUCCGGAGCACUCCCCAUACAUUAUUCAUUCAAAUAUCUUCUUCAAAGAUUAAAUAAUGAAUGCCUUCAAUAGUAAGAUCCAUAGUUCGAAAUGACUUUCUAACAACUGUUGUUGUUUCUGACCAACUCUCAAGAAGCAAAGAUAAUUACAGUAGUGCCCAAACUUCGUCUUUGAACCAUAUGUCAAAAAUUGCAAUCUUUAUAUUAUUAAGUUGAAUUUAUUCACAUGGUAUGUAAUAGGGCCAGAUUCCUUCAUCUUCGUAUUCAACAUACGUCUAUGAAAGAUCUUUAUGCUCAAGAAAUAUUAUAGGAUGAUAUUUGAUAGAUAAUAUAUGAUCCUAAAGGGUCACACUAGCAACAACUUGAGGUUAAUAUAUAUAUAUAUAUANUGAUGAAUAUUUAUGUUUCUUGUAUUUAAUUGGAAAAAUUGUUAUUAAUGGAAAUAAUAUUUUUUAAGAGAGAAAAACAACUAAUAACUCACAUAGUAUGAAUUAUAUGUUGCAUACAUCUUUUUGGACUUAUAGUAGGUUAUUUAUAUAGAUAUAGCUUAUAUAACAAUAUGAUGUAUAUUCUAGUUUAUGAAAAUGGAUUAUGAUUCACACCCCCUAUCACAUCCCUCCUCAUUGCCAUGAAUGAGCUUGGACGGGUGAAUUUGGAGUGUUGGGUUUUCUUAUUACAAGCCAUACAUGUCAUAUGAUAUCAUACCUUCUUUGAAUACUAGCAUUGACUUUGGUAUAUAAUUGUAUGUAUAAAAGGAGACUAAAGGAUUUCAAAAGAGUUUGAUCUUUCUUCUUCUUUUCUUCUAAAAAGUCAUGCCUUUUUCUCUCUAUCCCCUUUCCUCAUUGUUUCAGUAAGUUAUGUAAAUUGAGUGUUUAUUAGUUGCUUCUCCUUAAGAAUUAUUUGGUAUAUGUCUUUAAGGAUUAAGAACAACUAAAUAUACAAGAUGGACUAGCAUCCAUGUCAAGUUCAAGAAUUGUUGGUGUUUCUAACUAAUGUGGAGUUCUACCUUUACAUUCUUCAUCAACUUACAACCUCCUAAGAGGAUCAAAGUCUUCAAACGUUGUCGCUUUUUUCCUAUGGCUGUGUUUUAAUCUUUCCAUGCUUUGCAAAAUGAUCUUUCAUGGGUUAAAAUGGUUUUAAGUUUAUUUAAAUCUUAAAAUGUUUCUAUUGCUAAUCUCCUAGUUUUGACACUAUAAUUAGACUAUUUUUUAUAAAUAAAACCCAACAAUUGGUAUCAAAUCCAUUUUUGCAAGCUUGGUUAGAUUAUUAGAUUAUUUGGUAUAACCUUUAUUUUUGGAAAACAUGGAUUGUUUUCUUUUUAUAAGAAAAUUCCAUAAACACUUUUUGUUACAACUUUAUAAUUGUUAUUUUAUAUGGCAAAAGUUCUAACAUCCAUAAAAUUUUGAAAAUUUUAAAACUUUUAAAUAACUCCAAAAACCAUCAUUCAUUACAAAUUUCUUUCAAAAUAGUUCAACAUUGGGGAAAUCCGAGAAAUCUUAAAACAAUUACAAGGAGGUGCACGAUCACGCCUUCGCCUUCCUGCGAUCCUGAAAUGUACUUGAAACAUAAUCUAAAACUGUAAGCCCGAAGCUUAGUGAGUUUCCCCCAAAAUACCAAUCAUAAUACCAAAACUAGAAUAAUGUCACAAAAAUCAUGCACUCAGAGCCUUCAGCCUGACUGGAACGCCCCCACCGGCCUACAGUCUAUCUGGUACGCUUAUAGAACCUACAUCAUGACUGGUAUGCUACCUUGAGCCUUCAACCUAUUUGGAACGUUCUAUGGGCCUUCGACUUGACUGGUAUGCCCCACUGGCCUUCAGUCUAUCCGGGAUGCCCUGGGUCUGUUGGCCUUCAGCACAAAGCAGGUCCGCCUCAACCAAUCACAUAACCUAUCGACAUAUAAAUAACAAUUAAACAUAUAACCAGAAAAUCAUGCAAACAGACAUAUCUUAUAGAUCACUAAGUAUAUCAUUAUUCUAUUAUCAGGAUACAUAUCUAACAGGUCACUAUAAUACUCACACAUGCAAUAAUCAGGAUAACAAUCCAAAAGGGUCGACCUUGGUGCCUUCGACCCAACAAGUAUAGUGAGGAACACUCACCUCACAAGUAGCUGAACUGAUAAGAUCUAACUCCGGAUCCCAACUCCCGAAUCAAAGCCUAAAAGCAACAUGACCAACCCAUCAAAACCUUAAAUCCCCAAAAUGCUUUUAAAUCCCCAAAACGAGUUGGUUAACCAUGGUCAAAGUCGAGGUCAACAAUCCAUGUUGACCCAACUCGUCGAGUGCACCUACUAACUCGUCGAGUUCCUUUAGUACUUAGAGAAAUAGGGAAAACUUGAGCCAACUCGCCGAGUUAUCAGGACAACUCAUCGAGUUCCUACAGUAUCCAAAAUAGCAGGAAAACUGAAGCCAACUCGCCGAGUUGUCAGAACAACUCGUCGAGUUUUCCCAACUUAACUCAUACAGUCCUUUUUUGUCCCUUCCAACGCCCAAGAAUGCAGAUCUAGAACCCAAGAGCUGGAACGCCAUGUAAAGUUGCUAACUUUACGUCCAUGCAUGACACAAGGAGGCUAAAACACUCAAAGAAGGCCUAACGAGGGUCUAAAGCAUAAAGGGGGCCCUAUAACAUGAUAAAGCUUGAAGCUUUAAGCCCAAAGAGGCCACAAGGCAUCUAGAUCUGAAGUGACAACUUCAAUAAAUGGCCAAACCCAAGAAUGACUCCAGUAUGAGCCAAAAAUGACAAUAAACUUCCAAAGGGGAAGAUCUAUGCAAUAAAUGAUCAAGGUAUCGACUUUUUACCUCAAAUUGGUUGCAGAUACAGAGAAGAUUUUGGAUCUACAACCUUCCUCUCAAUCAAACCUCUUCAAACUCCAAGCUCCUUCAAAAGAUCACCAAAAAUUCACUCUUUAAGCUCACACAUACAAAAAGGAGAGAAUGCACGAAUUAGGGUUUCAUAAUCAACCACCAUCUUGUCGAGUUGGUCCAAAAAGUAUGUGCGACCCAAGAGCUUCCAACACGUCUAGUUGAGGCCAUCAACUCGACGAGUUCCAAAGGGAAAUUUGUCUUUUAAGCCAUAAAUAUCAUACCUGGGAGUUGGGAUGUUACAACUCUCCCCCACUUGAUCUAGGCUUCGUCGUCGAAGCUUGUUGCGGUGAACACAUUCGGAUAAUGCUCCCAAUGAAUUAAUGGUGCAUUGAAAUUUUUUAGUCUGAAACUAGGAAUUGACGGAGAAACACUUCAUGUUUCACUAUGCCUCAUUAUAAUGUUCAAAAUCUUAUAAUUCAUUCUUUUGCGAGAUCUUAAUGAAACUGGUCUUUUUGUAAAUCGUUUAUUCCAAAUGGAUCCAUAUUUUAUUUUCUGAGUUAUGAGAUUUAUGGCUGAGCAUUUUCUAUCCUUUUGUCACUUCUAUCUUACUAAGUCAUUAAUUGAAUAGUUCAACCAAUCAUUCAAGGUUUCUCUCUCAUACCCCCAGUCGGCGGUGGAAACGCCAAGACUUGCAACAUUAGAAUAUUGGAUUACAAAUGUUGAACAUACAUUGCAAAAUACAAUGUAUAACAUAAUUAUUGAAUAUCUCAUUACCAGAAAUCGGGGUUACAUUAGUUCAAAUGCUUUGAACAUUAAGCUUACAUAGUACAACAUAUUACUAGUCUAUAUCCUUGCGUCUUGAUCUCCUGUAAUUGUAACAACGUAAAUUUUCAAAGUAAUUUCUCCAUUUCAAAAUAUAAUAAAAAUUCAUAUAUAAUAUCAAAAUCCGUGUAUCAACAUCAUCUCGAUAAAGAAAUCCCAAGAUCUUAAUGUAAAUAAAACUCCAUCCGUGUGUACGGUCAUGCCGGCGCCUUCCCGCGAUCCUCACUGGUACCUGAAACACAUAACACACAACACGGUAAGCAUAAAUGCUUAGUGAGUUCCCCAAAAUACCACACACAACACAUACGCCACUCAAGGAUACCGUAUGACCCUCCGGUCGAUGUGUCUCAGCGUGACCCUCCAGUCCUGUAGCUCGUUGGACCCUCUGGUCCGGUCAUAGCUCGUUGGACCCUUCGGUCCGAUUUGUAUCGUUGGACCCUUCGGUCCGGUCUAUAUCGUUGGACCCUCCGGUCCGGUCUAUAUAACACAUAGCAUACAUAUAUCACAAUGCACAUAAUCUCAUACAUACACAUAGCACACAAGACCCUCCGGUCUACACAUAGAUACCACUCUAGGUAAUGUAUAGUGAGAAGACUCAACUCGAGUAACUCGGAUAAUCUCGCACACGAAUAUGCUGAUCUAGCCCCCGCAUAAUCACAUAUCAAUAUCCUCAAAUAAAUAAUGGCUCUCAAAGGCUAGAUUAAAUCCCUUCCUAUAAUCCCACAGAAGGGUAAAAGACCAUUUUACCCCUCCUUGACCCAAAAGUCCAAAUGUUGACUAAAACCCUAAAAGUCAACGAAAGUCAACAGGGGCAGUACGCGGGGCGUACCAACUCGUGUACGCGGGGUGUAAUCCGGCUAACCAAAAUCGGGGGAUAAGACCCAUUACGCGACGCGUAAUGGGAUUAUGCCCAACGUAAGUCCCAGUUACCCAUUCUCAAAAGUUUUGGUCUGAAUCGAUUAAGACAAUGGUUCAUAUCAUAGAUCUAGGCACUCUACUGCCUCCUAAACCAUAAAGUCGAAACCUUUAGGCCUUUGCAUGGCUAAAAAGGUUACAACUUCUUCCAAACUCUUAUCCCCUUUCCCCAUUAAGACCAAAACCCAUGCAUGACUCCAUCAUGACGACCAAGAUUGGAUUUUUAUGAACCUACAACUCAUAUUACUCUGAAAUAUGGCAGAUCUAAGCUUAUGGAGACCAUUUGCUCAUAAAGUCUCCACCUUGGGACCAAAAACCCUAAAAAUUGGUCCAUGAAGCACAAAACAAAAAUGACAAGGAAAGCUUUGAGCUUUUUACCUCCAAGUGAAGCUCUUCCCUCUGUAGAACUCAAAUCCAGGCUUGUACUCCAACUUCUAGCCUCCACAAGAACCUCCUCUUCUUCUUCACUAACACACAAAGGCACUUUCUAGCUCAAGAACACUCACACACUAGCUUUAGAAUGAUAAUAUUGCUCUCCUAGGGUUUUUCUCUGUGGAAUGGUGGUUGGGGACAAGACCAUAUCAUUGCUUUUAUAGUCCACAAGCCACAAUUAGGGUUUGCAUCUUGGCCCGCUACGCCCAGCGUACCUAGGCAAGUCUCGUCCAAACUAAGAGCAUGAGUACAUGCAGCGUACUCUUCAGUACGCCCAAUGUACUCAAUGGCCAUAUUUUUCCUUUAGGCGCUAAACUUGACAACUUGGAAAGGAAGAAGGGUUAAAUAAAUAUACCUGAAUUCCGGGAUGUUACAAUUCUCUUCCACUAGAACCAGACUUUUACCUCAAAGUCUCAUGCCGUAAACAACCUCGGAUGCUGGUCCCGCAUCUCUGACUCCGACCCCAAGUCAGCUCGGACCCUCUCCGAUGUUGCCACUGGACCUGAACCAGGGGCACCUCCUUGUUCCUCAGAACCAUGAUCAUUCGAUCCACAAUCGUGAUUGGCCUCUCAACAUAAUUCAUCGUCGCAUCCACCUGAAUGUCCUCCAGUGGUACAACUGUCGUCUCGUCGGCAAUACACUUCCUCAACUGAGACACGUAGAAGGUAUCAUGUAUCUGACUCAACACUGCAGGUAGCUCCAAACGAUAUGCUACCCUGCCCACCCUAGCGGUCACCAUGAAAGGACCAAUGUACCGGGGUCCCAGCUUGCCCCUUUUCUAGAAUCAGAUCACUCCCUCCAAGGAGAUACCUUCAGGAGUACGAAGUCUCCCACCUGGAACUCGAGCUCGGACCGUCGCCUAUCUAGAUAAAUCUUCUGACGACUUUGAGUUGUUAACAACCUCUGUCUGACCUGCUGUAUCUGCUCUGUCGUCUGAAGCACUAUCUCAGUGUUGCCCAUCACUCGUUGCCCUACCUCCCCUAGUAGAUGGGAGUCCGAUACCUCCUCCCAUACAACAACUCGAAGGGAGGCAUACGGAUACUCGAAUGGUGGCUGUUGUUAUAGGAAAACUUAGCCAACGGUAAAUACGUGUCCCAACUUCCUCCAAAGUCCAACACACAUGCUCAAAGCAUGUCCUCGAGCGUCAAAAUUGUCCGCUCACUCUGUCCGUCCGUCUGUGGGUGGUAAGAGGUACUGAAAUGCAGCCUCGUGCCCAACUCCUCAUGGAACUUCUUCGAAAACCUGGAAGUGAAACGUACAUCUCGAUCUGACACAAUCGAUAUCGGUACUCCAUGCCACGAUAUCACCUCCCUCACAUACAACUCUUCCAGUCUCUCUUUUGAAAAGCUCUCACUAAUAGCAAGGAAGGGAGCGCUCUUCGUCAGUCGGUAGAUGAUCACCCAAAUUGCAUCGACACCCCUCGCGGUACUUGGCAAUUUGGUGAUAAAGUCCAUAGAAAUUUGUUCCCACUUCCACUGGGGAACCUCAAGUGGCUGCAACUUGCCAUGAGGACGCUGGUGCUCGGCCUUAUCCCUGAGAUAGGUCAAGCACCUCUUAACGAACCACGCAACAUCCCUCUUCAUACAUGGCCACCAAUAGUCUCUUUCAGGUCCAAAUACAUCUUAGUGGCCCCGGGAUGGAUCAAGAAUCUCGACUUGUGCGCCUCCUCCAUCAGAAUGGUACGUGCCCCGCCCGCAAACGACACCCAAAUCCGACCCUAAAAGGUCAUAAGCCCUCGGCUAUCGGUAACGAACUCAGAUACCUGCCCGAUCACCCGCUCUCUCUUGCUGUUCUCCGGUCUCACGGCCUCUGCCUGGGCCUCCCGAAUGGUGUCCAACACCGGAGUCAUCACCGUCAUCCUCAUACAAACGCCUCAUAUCGGGGUAAUCUCCGCCCUACGGCUCAGGGCAUCGGCUACAACGUUAGCCUUUCCCGGGUGGUACAGGAUCUCACAAUCAUAAUCCUUUACCACAUCCAACCAUCUCCUUUGGCUCAUAUUCAGGUUGGGCUGAUCCAUCAAAUACUUCAAGCUCUUGUGGUCCGUGUAUAUGGUACACUGAACCCCGUACAAAUAGUGACGCCAGAUCUUGAGGGCGAACACCACUCCCCCACAACUACAGAUCGUGGGUGGGAUACCUCGUCUCAUGAGGCUUCAGCUGCCUUGAUGCGUAUGCUAUCACGUGCCCUCUCUACAUCAGCACCGCACCUAACCCCGAUAUCGAUGCGUCAGAAUACACCAAAAAAUCCUCCAUCCCCUCCGGAAGGGAUAACACCAGGGCUUCGCAUAACCUCUAGCAAAGUGUCUCGAAUGAGGCCAGCUGCUCAGGACCCCAACUAAAAGCCACGCCCUUCCGGGUGAACCUGGUGAGAGGAACGACAAUCUUGGAGAAGUCCCUGAUAAAUCUCCGAUAAUAGCCAGCCAACCCCAAAAAACUCUUGAUCUCGGUGGGGGAUCUUGGCACCUCCCAAAUCAUCACAACCUCAAUCUUGGCCAGAUCGACCAAUAUCCCAUUCUGGUUGACGAGAUGCCCAAAGAACUGGACCUAUUGUAACCAGAAAUUGCACUUGGAGAAUUUGGCGUAAAGCCUCUCCGAUCUCAAAACUCUGAGGAUCUCCCUCAAAUGCUCUUCAUGCUGCUCUCUAGAUCUCGAAUACACCAAUAUAUCAUCGAUGAACACGAUCACCGAACGAUCCAACAUCGGCCUGUACACCCUGUUCAUGAGAUCCAUGAAUGCCGCCGGUGCAUUGGUGAGCCCAAAAGGCAUCACCACGAACUCGCAAUGCCCAUAACGAGUUCUGAACGUCGUCUUCUGGAUAUCCUUAUCCCACACUCUCAUCUGAUGAUAUCCAAACCUCAAAUCAAUCUUGGAGAACCAAGACGCUCCCUGCAACUGAUUGAAUAGACCAUCGAUCCUCGGUAAGGGGUAACGGUUCUUGACCGUCAACUUAUUCAACUCCCGGUAAUCAAUGCACAUCUGGUGUGAACCAUCCUUUUUCUUGACAAAAAGGAUCGGCGCUCCCCACGGCAAGCUACUCGGUCGAAUAAAUCCCUUCCCCAACAGCUCCUGAAGCUGCGAGGAUAACUCCUGCAUCUCUGGCGGCGCAAGGCGAUAGGGUGCCUUGGCAAUAGGUGCCGCUCCCGGAACUAAAUCGAUGCGAAAAUCCACUUGCCUCUCGGGAGGCACACCCGGCAACUCCUCGGGGAAAACGUCUGGGAACUCUCGCACUAUCUGUACAUCAUCGAACGAAUUCAACCUCUCCACGGCCACUCGUGUGUCCACCACAUAGGCCACAAACCUACUACAGCCCUGCUGCAGACUCUGCCUCGCUCUAGCAGCCGAACAGAACGUUGACCCGGAAUGGGUACCCUCGUCGUACACCGUAAGAACUCCCCCACUAGGUUCUCGUAUGGUCACCAGUUGUCGCUCGCAGUCGAUAACUGCUCCAAAUCUGCUCAGCCAGUCCAUGCCCACGAUGAUACAGACAUCCCCUGUAACGCCCGUAGAUUAGGGCUAGUCAAUUUAGAGACGAUAAGCAUCAAAAAUGAAUUUUUGAUGGAAGAUUAUUUAGAAGGAUUAAUCUUAACCAAGUUGUAGUAUAUGUCACAAGGUUUCCGUGCAUAUAAAGAACGCCAAAAUCCGAGUUAUAACGAAGAAGUUAUGACCUGUCGAAGUUUCGCGACAGAACCGGCACGACCCAGUGCGACGUAAAUAGUGAACUUAAGGUAGAUAGAUGUCUAUCCUUAGUGAUCUAAACAAGAUUUGAAGACUUCUUCGAUAGUAGUCCAACGAUAAAAAGACAGACAAAAACGGAGUUCAGAUGAAGGAGUUAUGAAUUUCGAACGGAGUUUUCCUGUCCCGGCUUACUAAAGAUAAUAUAUAAGUAAUAUAAUUAUAGUAUAUUAAAAAUAAAGUCAAAAUUAGCCAAUGGAGUCGAAACGAGAGUUGUAGAGCAUAAUCUCACCUUCGCGUCGAUAUAAAGAACGUCGAAAACGGAGUUCGUAUGCGAAAGUUAUGAAUUUCAGAAGUUCAGGGCACGAAACCCCAAAAAUGUUAGAGACCACGAUGUGGCAAGCAGUGCCACGACGUGGCAAGUCUCCUGACACCUCCGGGAGUCCCCCAGAUGCAACUUGCAAUGACGUAUGCAAUGACGACCAAGCCCACGACGUGGAAAAAGGAUCCCACGACGUGGCAAGGGCCAAAUGUGCCCUAUAAAUAGAUUUGAAGGGCCAGCCGACUAUGGUUGCUCCAUCCCUUCUCUCCCACUCCCGAUACACCCUCUAAGCCCUAUUUUAACCCCCCGAAGCCCCGGUAUCAACCCCGAGACCCGAAGCAAGUCCCGAAGCCCCAAGAUCCCGAGAAGAAAAGAGUUUCCGAGCCGAAGCUCUGCCCGCGAGAAACCCGGUGUGUGAAGUGAUCCCGGUUUCACCGAAGAAUAUCUACUUGAAGAGCCGUAGUGCUGUCCGAUCAUCUUCUGAUCAAGUGAGUGUAUAGUCCCUUUCAUAAACACGAUUAUAAUACAAGUAUUGUUUGAAUGUAUUAAGUAUAUGUUUGGUGUGAGUGUAUAGUCACUUUCAUCUUACACAUAGAUAUGAAGUAUUUUAUAAAAUACGUGCUAUGUGUAUAUAUAUAGUUGUUUAUAUGUGUGAGUGUGUGGUCACUUUCUUCUAACACAUAAAUAUUAAGUAUUUGCUAUGAAAUACGUGCUAUGUGUUUAUAUAUUGUUGUUUAUUUGAGAUGUUGGUGGAAUACAUGAACUAUAUAGGUUUUAAUGAGUUAAACUGUAUAUUUAUUUUGUAACUACAAAUAUGUUGGGUAGGACAUGGGUAGAUGAGAUCCGUGAGUAUGGAUCAGAUCAAGAGGUUAGUUUUAGAUCCGUGAGUAGGGAUCAGAUCAAGAGGUUAGUUUUAGAUCCGUGAGUAUGGAUCAGGUAAAGAGAUAAACUUGCUAUUAGUCCGGGAGUAUGGAUUAAGACUAAGUUAAUUGUCCCUAGUCCGGGAGUAUGGAUUGGGCACAGUUAUAGAUCCGGGAGUAUGGAUCAGAUAAGGAUUAAGAUUAAGAUAAUUGUCCCUAGUCCGGGAGUAUGGAUUGGGCACAGUUAUAGAUCCGGGAGUAUGGAUCAGAUCAGGAUUAAGGUAUAGUUAAUUGUCCCUAUUCCGGGAGUAUGGAUUGGGUACAAUUAUUGAUCCGGGAGUAUGGAUCAGAUCAGGAGGUUAGUUUUAGAUCCGUGAGUAUGGAUCAGGUAGUUUUAGAUCCGUGAGUAUGGAUCAGGUGAAAAGGUUAGUUUUAGAUCCGUGAGUAUGGAUCGGGUGAAGAGGAUAGUUUUAGAUCCGUGAGUAAGGAUCAGGUAAAGAGGUAAAUUUUAGAUACGAGAGUUUAGAUCGUGUCGUUGUGAGGAUCGAUGGGGUGGGAUAAGAGUUGCCUUUAUAUGGUGAAAUUGUACAAGUUUGAAUGUUCUAUAUUUAUAAAUAUAUGAUAUAACAUUGUGGGAUGAAAACCCUAUAUGCUCACCAGGCUCCCAAGCCUGACCCACUCAGUUUUCUUUGUAUCACAGGUAUCAAUACGAAGACAUAUUUCACAGAGAGAUUUAAAGGAGAUAUAAAUCAAUUGUGUAAUUAAAUGUAAGUUCUGUUUAUGCUUAUAUGUCUGUAUCGGAACAUGACAUCCCGAGGUUUUAUUAUUAAAUGAAAAUAAAUUCUCUUUGAGAAAUGUUUUGAUAAGUUAUUAUCAUAUUUUGUUUUGGGAACAAAUUCCGCAACCGUUUUCUUUAAAAGAUUACUCUGAUUUUAUAAAACAAAGCAUAAACAAAUCGGUCUUUUCUGGCCGUGAAAAUGGGGAUGUCACAGUUGGUAUCAGAGCAUUAGUUUAAGCGAACUAGGAAUUUGUAGGAAAUUUCUAGACUUAAACUUAGAAUGCUAAGUAAUGAUUGUGAGGAGUGUGUCUAAAAUAUGUUAGGUAGUACACCUAAAUUGACACAAGCACUAGUUCAUUUUAGGAAUGAUGCCUAAAAUGCUUUUAUGUGCUAAAUGUUUUGUGUGAUAGCUAUAUUGAUGCUAUUAUUUGUUCGGAUCUAUGGUCUGUUGCCGACCGGAUCUGGAAACCUUAUGUGUUUAGGAUUCUAAGCGUAUGACUACGAUAUUAGAACUAGCAUGUAAACGUUUCGGAGUGAUAAGGAGAUUUAUACGUUUAUCGUAAUUAAAGCUUUCUUAUCUUAAAAUUCUCGCUUGGUACACCGAAUGUCUGCUUGGAUGUACAAGAGGUCAUGGUGAAGACUCGUAGAGAAAUUGAGUAAAUGGAGGAAAUGAAGAAGGCUUAUGAUAGUGGAUGACACCUAUCAGAAGAUAUCAUAAGCGUGGUAUCUUGCCUUUACAGUAUGUCUUAUGAAAUAAAAGUACGUUUAGAGGAGUACGGUACGUCUGAAGUACACCUUCGAUUGGCAGGAUGAUGGAACGAUUGGUGAAAUUCUCGAAGUUGUCUCAUCGUCUUGUAUUUCCAUCACCAAUCGAGUUGAAGUAGAGUUGAUGAUUGAAGAUUGAGCAAUGAAGAAGUCCUAGUAGAGUCUAGGGAAAUUGUUUAUGAUUAUUUGGACACAUUCGUAUGUGUUAAAUUGUUUUGUGAUUUUCUUGUAUGGUGACUUGGUCGACUGCGGGACAAUACUUGGGACGAGUAUGAGUAGGUGUGAAAGGUAGUAGAUGCAUAUACUACCGGAAGCACAGGACUCACACUUGGAUCAGGGAAAGUCACAAGGUUACCAAGAAGCUAGUGAUUGAUUCCGUUUUAUUCGGAUAUGUCAUUACCCUUGUUUCGGUAAUUACUAGUAAGAUGGUUGUUAUGCCGACCCUAGUGGUCAUAUCAAAUUGAGUCCGAAUACGAUGAGUUUGUUAUGUGGUUCAUAGAACCAAGUUCGAGGUAGCAUCUGACUCAAGUCAGAAGAUUGAAAUUAAUGUGAUCGAUAGCAUCACGCUCGUUGUUAAUGAAGCUUGUAGCUAGAAAUGCUACAUGUUGAAAUGUGAUUAUAUCACAUUAGAAUAUGAAGGAAGGUAUAUUCCAUUUUGGAAUUUGACUCUAAGAGACUUGAGUCAAAGCGUUGCAUCAUGUGAUGAGAGGUCAUCAGGACACGACUCAUCGGUCUGUUACAAUAGAUAAAGGAAUGUACUUAUCCUAAGAAGAAAGAAUCCUCAAAAAGGAUUUGUUUUGUAUCUCGAAGGUUAUGAUUGAAAGUCCAACAUAGUACGAAGAGAAGAUGAAGGAUUGAGCAUCAUGGUUAUUAAUUAGGAUGGAGAGAUAAUGUAUGGAGUCAGUAUACAAAUCCUGUUUCGUUGAUGAUUCCGGGACGUAAUCAUCCUAAGGGGGAGAUAAUUGUAACGCCCGUAGAUUAGAGCUAGUCAAUUUAGAGACGAUAAGCAUCAAAAAUGAAUUUUUGAUGGAAGAUUAUUUAGAAGGAUUAAUCUUAACCAAGUUGUAGUAUAUGUCACAAGGUUUCCGUGCAUAUAAAGAAUGCCCAAAUGCGAGUUAUAACGAAGAAGUUAUGACCUGUCGAAGUUUCGCAACAGAACCGGCACUACCCAGCGCGACGUAAAUAGUGAACUUAAGNCUAAAUGAGAAUUGAAGAUCUCAUCGAUAGUAGUGCAACGACGGAAAGACAGACGGAAUCGGAGUUCAGAUGAAGGAGUUAUGAAUUUCGAACGGAGUUUUCCUGUCCCGGCCUACUAAAGAUAAUAUAUAAGUAAUAUACUUAUAAUAUAUUAAAAAUAAAGUCAAAAUUAGCCAAUGGAGUCUAAACGAGAGUUGUAGAGCAUAAUCUCACCUUCGCGUCGAUAUAAAGAACGUCGAAAACGGAGUUCGUAUGCGAAAGUUAUGAAUUUCAGAAGUUCAGGGCGCGAAACCCCAAAACUGUUAGAGACCACGACGUGGCAAGCAGUGCCACGACGUGGCAAGUCUCCUGACACCUCCGGGAGUCCCCCAAAUGCAACUUGUAAUGACGUAUGCAAUGAAGACCAAGCCCACGACUUGGAAAAAGGAUCCCACGACGUGGCAAGGGCCAAAUUUGCCCUAUAAAUAGAUUUGAAGGGUCAGCCGACUAUGGUUGCUCCAUCCCUUCUCUCCCACUCCUGAUACACCCUCUAAGACCUAUUUUAACCUCCCGAAUCCCCGGUAUCAACCCCGAGACCCGAAGCAAGUUCUGAAACCCAAAGAUCCCGAGAAGAAAAGAGUUUCCGAGCCGAAGCUCUGCCCGCGAGAAACCCGGUGUGUGAAGUGAUCCCGGUUUCACCGAAGAAUAUCUACUUGAAGAGCCGUAGUGCUAUCCGAUCAUCUUCUGAUCAAGUGAGUGUAUAGUCCCUUUCAUAAACACGAUUAUAAUACAAGUAUUGUUUGAAUGUAUUAAGUAUAUGUUUGGUGUGAGUGUAUAGUCACUUUCAUCUUACACAUAGAUAUGAAGUAUUUUAUAAAAUACGUGCUAUGUGUAUAUAUAUUGUUGUUUAUAUGUGAGUGUGUGGUUACUUUCUUCUAACACAUAAAUAUUAAGUAUUUGUUAUGAAAUACGUGCUAUGUGUUUAUAUAUUGUUUGUUUAUUUGAGAUGAGUAUGGAAUGGAUGAACUAUAUAGGUUUUAAUGAGUUAAACUGUAUAUAUAUUUUGUAUCUACAAAUAUGUUGGGUAGGACAUGGGUAGAUGAGAUCCGUGAGUAUGGAUCAGAUCAAGAGGUUAGUUUUAUAUCCGUGAGUAUAGAUUAGAUCAAGAGAUUGGAUUUAGAUCCGAGAAUAUGGAAUAGGAAAAGAGAUAAACUUGUUAUUAAUCUGGGAGGAUGGAUUAAGACAUAGUAAAUUGUCCCUAGUCCGGGAGUAUGGAUUGGGCACAGUUUAGAUCCGGGAGUAUGGAUCAGAACAUGAUUUAGGUAUAGUAAAUUGUCCCUAGUCCGGGAGUAUGGAUUGGGCACAGUUUUAGAUCCGGGAGUAUGGAUCAGACCAAUAGGUAAACUUGUUAUUAAUCCAGGAGUAUGGAUUAAGACAUAGUUAAUUGUCCCUAGUCCGGGAGUAUGGAUUGGGCACAGUUUUAGAUCCGGGAGUAUGGAUCAGACCAAGAGAUUAGUUUAGAUCCGGGAGUAUGGAUUAGACCAAUAGGUUAGUUUUAGGUCCGAGAGUGUGGAUCGGGUGGAGAGAUUAAUUUAGAUCCGUGAGUAGGGAUCAGAUAAAGAGGAACAGUUUAGAUACGAGAGUUUAGAUCGUGUCGUUGUGAGGAUCGAUGGGGUGGGAUAAGAGUUGCCUUUAUAUGGUGAAAAUGUACAAGUUUGAAUGUUCUAUAUUUAUAAAUAUAUGAUAUAACAUUGUGGGAUGAAAACCCUAUAUGCUCACCAGGCUCCCAAGCCUGACCCACUCAGUUUUCUUUGUAUCACAGGUAUCGAUACGAAGAUAUAUUUCACAGAGAGAUUAAAGGAGAUGUAAAAUCUUUAGUGUAAAUAAUGUAAGUUCUGUUUAUGNAUGUCUGUAUCGGAACAUUACAUCCCGAGGUUUUAUUAUUAAAUGAAAAUACAUUCUCUUUGAGAAAUGUUUUGAUAAGUUAUUAUCAUAUCUUGUUUUGGGAACAAAUUCCGCAACCGUUUUCUUUAAAAUAUUACUCUGAUUUUAAAAACAAAGCAUAAACAAAUCGGUCUUUUCUGGCCGUGAAAUUGGGGAUGUCACAUCCCCCAUCGCAAUCGGAACCAGAUCAAUCGGGAACUCAACACCGAAGAUCUCGAGUACACCUCCUCGAAUCACAUCAGUGGCAUACAUCGCUUGCUCUUCAGCUAUGGAAACUUGAAGAGGUCGACUCAACGCCUCUCGAUAGAUACUGAUGUGCUGACUAAAUGCUAAAGACACGAAAGAUCGAGUCGCAGCCGAGUCAAAUAACACCAAAGCAGGUACUGAACUCACAAGAAAAGUACUUAUGUCAUAAUAUAAGCACAAUGUCUCAAACUCAAAAUAAAUAGAUGAAAGCGUACAUACCAGCCACGAGAUCGGGUGCUGCGCGGACCUCCUCCGCUGUCAAAUGGAAGGCUCUCUCGCGAGCCUUUAGUGCCUCGGCCUUCACUGGCCGGGUCUUGGUAGCUCUGGCAGCAGGUGCAGAUCCCUGCAGCAGCUGUGGGCACUCGGCCUUCCGAGAAUCCCUUGGGGCAAUCCCUCGCAAAAUGCCCCUCCUUCCCACACUUGUAACAUACCCCGACUCUGCACACCCCCUCAUGGCUCUUGCCGCACCUCCCACAAGUGCGGCCCUUCGGACCCCCAGAUCUCGAAUCAACGGGCUUUGCCCGCUUGGCUGCCGGCUGAGCCUGCGCCGAUCGCCUAUCCCUCAUCUGAGACUCGACCUCCUCCCUGACCUGAGUCUCCAACUCAAUCUCCCGCUUCCGGGCAUUUCCUGGAGCUCAGAAAAUGUCUGGUAUGACGAGUGCGCCACGAACUCACGAAUAUCCCUCCUUAGUAUGCUCAAGUACCGGCUCAUACGUGCCUACUCAGAAGACACGUGCUUAGGGAAAAACAACGCCCUCUCAUGAAACAUCCUCGUAAUCACUGUCACAGACUCAGUUCCCUACUUGAGGGACAAGAACUCUUGGGCUAGACGUUCGCUCUCCACAGGGGGAAUAUACUCAUCUCGAAACAUCGCGGUGAACCUCUCCCAGGUUACCGCAGUAAGCUCUGUAGUAGUGAAGUCCUCCGUCACAAACUUCCACCAGUCCUUCGCCCUCAAGUGAAGUCCUCCGAACCCUCAAAUGCUUCGGACACGAGCAGGUGUAGAAGCAUCCCUCGAUAUCAGAAAUCCAUCUCAUCGCAGCAAUCGGAUCCUGCGUCCCAUCGAACUCUGGUGGCUUGGUGUUGCUGAACUCCCGGUACAACAUCGAGUCACCCCCUGAGGUUUCGCAGCAGCCACAUCCGCAGUAGCUGUAGCAGCUGCAACCUCAGUAACCACUGCUUAUCUCUCGUCAAACGUCUCAAUCAAGGUGGUCUUGAUAAACCCAAACAUCUCCGGUAUCUCUGCGCGGAUAGCCGCCGCCACCUCAUCAUGGAUCAUCUGACGAAGCUCCUCGUCACUCACGCCGCUCGUCUCAGGUCUGUGGCAUGUCCCAACCAUGAUGUCUCUGAAAUACAACAUAAAAAUAUCAGAGACUCGCUCGAGUAUACUCGCACCUGAUAACUCAACCCUACUUGUUCCUUAGCACCCUAAGGAUUCUUACUUGGACUGUGCAAUGAUCCGGUGUCUUCAGUAGUACGGAACCUAUACUACCGUCCACACCGCAACAGUAUUCACCCCAAGUCCUCCUCCUAGGAUCCCAUAUCACAAGUACUCUAAUCUCGCUAUGCAUAGGCUACUCUGCAGCAGACCUCUCGUAAGCUCCUCGUUGCAACCUACUCACUCUCAAGCAUCUCAUAGUAGCAGUAAUCUCCUAGUCUAAGGCAUCACAAAUCAGGACACUCUAGUCCUAAUAUAAAUACCUAGCCUACUCUAGCAUGCAUAACAUAUCAUAUCAUAUCUCAUAACACAUAAUAUGAGGGUAUUUUGGGAAAUCACCGUUCUGGCGCUGGUUGAUCGUACACACUGCUCUGUUCUGCUCGUUUCAAAACCUUUUAUUCUUUUAGAAAAAUUGUUUUACUGUGAAAACUUUCUCAAACCCUCAGUUUGAGUUCAGAUACGUCCGAAGGUGCAUCCGAAUCCCUCAAACCAAGGCUCUGAUACCAACUUGUAACAACGUAAAUUUUCAAAAUAAUUUUUCCAUUUCAAAAUAUAAUAAGAAUUCAUAUAUAAUAUCAAAAUCCGUGUAUCAACAUCAUCUCAA